CCCUACGGGGUGCAGUUGGAUGGGGUAUCGCAGGGACGGCUGCCCGAUGGCCAGGGGAACAUUGUCAGUUUUCCCGGCAGCGCCAGUCCGGGCACGACCAACUUUGUGGUUGCAUCCAGUGGGCCACGGCUCAACGAAGUGAUGGCGCGCAACGAGUCGGCGGUAUUGGAUCCCUGGGGCCAGUAUUGCGACUGGGUGGAACUGUAUAAUCCGGGGCCGGGGGCAUUCGACCUGUCGGGGAUGAGUCUGAGUCUGGACCAAUUGCAGCCGGGCCAGUGGGUGUUCCCGGCCGGAACGAGCCUGGCGGCGGGGGGUUACCUGGUGCGGUGGUGUGAUGGUUCGCGCGCCGCCUCGACCAAUUGGGAGGCGCAUCUCAACACGGGGCAAUCGCUGGAUGGCAACAGCGGGAGAGC
RNAcentral lists this ribosomal RNA (413 nucleotides) under uncultured prokaryote. RNAcentral describes it as "partial 16S ribosomal RNA". The record is from RNAcentral.